CCCCUGGUGGUCCUGUGGUUAGGACUCAGCACUUUCACUGUCAGGGCCCAGGUUCAAUCCCUGGUCAGGGAA
RNAcentral lists this transfer RNA (72 nucleotides) under Bos taurus (domestic cattle). It matches the Rfam family "tRNA". Rfam says of the family: Transfer RNA (tRNA) molecules are approximately 80 nucleotides in length. Their secondary structure includes four short double-helical elements and three loops (D, anti-codon, and T loops). RNAcentral also lists the same sequence under 4 other names. Lineage: Eukaryota; Metazoa; Chordata; Mammalia; Artiodactyla; Bovidae. The record is from Rfam by way of RNAcentral.